UAUCCUAGUGGUUAGAGUGUAGAGGUGGCAGGUAUCCUAGUGGUUAGAGUGUAGAGGUGGCAGGUAUCCUAGUGGUUAGAGCGUAGAGGAGGCAGGUAUCCUAGUGGUUAGAGCGUAGAGGAGGCAGGUAUCCUAGUGGUUAGAGUGUAGAGGAGGCAGGUAUCCUAGUGGUUAGAGUGUAGAGGUGGCAGGUAUCCUAGUGGUUAGAGUGUAGAGGUGGCAGGUAUCCUAGUGGUUAGAGUGUAGAGGUGGCAGGUAUCCUAGUGGUUAGAGUGUAGAGGUGGCAGGUAUCCUAGUGGUUAGAGUGUAGAGGUGGCAGGUAUCCUAGUGGUUAGAGUGUAGAGGUGGCAGGUAUCCUAGUGGUUAGAGUGUAGAGGUGGCAGGUAUCCUAGUGGUUAGAGUGUAGAGGUGGCAGGUAUCCUAGUGGUUAGAGUGUAGAGGUGGCAGGUAUCCUAGUGGUUAGAGUGUAGAGGUGGCAGGUAUCCUAGUGGUUAGAGUGUAGAGGUGGCAGGUAUCCUAGUGGUUAGAGUGUAGAGGUGGCAGGUAUCCUAGUGGUUAGAGUGUAGAGGUGGCAGGUAUCCUAGUGGUUAGAGUGUAGAGGAGGCAGGUAUCCUAGUGGUUAGA
This is a long non-coding RNA of Oncorhynchus keta (chum salmon), 624 nucleotides long. RefSeq lists it as uncharacterized. The record is from RefSeq and is a predicted model, not a curated record. NCBI's taxonomy places the organism in Eukaryota, Metazoa, Chordata, Actinopteri, Salmoniformes, Salmonidae. The transcript is spliced from 3 exons.